Molecule: ribosomal RNA, 495 nt
Filed under: uncultured bacterium
Lineage: Bacteria
Description: partial 16S ribosomal RNA
Rfam family: Bacterial small subunit ribosomal RNA
Source: RNAcentral
GACGAACGCUGGCGGCGUGCCUAAUACAUGCAAGUAGAACGCUGAAGGAGGAGCUUGCUUCUCUGGAUGAGUUGCGAACGGGUGAGUAACGCGUAGGUAACCUGCCUGGUAGCGGGGGAUAACUAUUGGAAACGAUAGCUAAUACCGCAUAAGAGUAGAUGUUGCAUGACAUUUGCUUAAAAGGUGCAAUUGCAUCACUACCAGAUGGACCUGCGUUGUAUUAGGUAGUUGGUGGGGUAACGGCUCACCAAGGCGACGAUACAUAGCCGACCUGAGAGGGUGAUCGGCCACACUGGGACUGAGACACGGCCCAGACUCCUACGGGAGGCAGCAGUAGGGAAUCUUCGGCAAUGGACGGAAGUCUGACCGAGCAACGCCGCGUGAGUGAAGAAGGUUUUCGGAUCGUAAAGCUCUGUUGUAAGAGAAGAACGAGUGUGAGAGUGGAAAGUUCACACUGUGACGGUAUCUUACCAGAAAGGGACGGCUAACUACGUG